UAGACACCUGUAGAUCAUUAAAGUUGUCAUCAACUAAGCUCUAGCUCCAUUUUUACAUAUUCACUGUCCUAAUGCUGUUGGAAUAUGUAUAAUUUCUGUAGAAGGGUUUGCACCUGUUGAUUUAUUAUUCACUGUCCUAAUAUUUAGGUUUGCACCUUUUAACCUGUCUUAAGAAGGGUUUGCACCUGUCCUAAUGCUCCAUUUUUUCUUUUUUUUUUGUCUUUGUUUCCUUUCACUUUCGAUUUUACUUCGCGCUUCUUUCAUGUUAUUUAUUAGUUUAAUGAUCAAAUUUAGGGUGCAUCAAAAACCACCUCUAAUAGAACCUCUUAACAUAUUAUGUUUAUGAAAUUUUGUCUACCGUUUACCCAAUUGUAGAUAGUAGAUAUAGUCUCAUAAGAGGAAUCGCGGUGAUGUUGUAUUAUGAUAUUAUAUGCAUAUAUGGCUUUCUGUUGAGGUUGAGCAUAUGAUAUUAGGAUCACUGUUCUAAUGCUUUAGGUGAUUCUAGUUGCUAUGUUAAUCAUGCAGAAAAGUAUACGCAACUUGUUGCUAAGCAUUUUUAAGUUUAUGUUAUGUUGUUAUUGAUUGACUGCUGUCUUAUUUAUGCGCCCUCUGCCAUUGCUUGAGGCUCUUGGGAGAAUAAGUUAAGUGGCCUAAUAAUGUAAUGUCAGGUUCUUGCUGAAAAAGCUUAUCUUGUGGGUGUGGAGCGAAAAGGUAUUAAAGUGGAUUCUUUUGGAAUAGAAGAAUCUCUGAAAGAAUUGGCUCAACUAGCUGACACAGCAGGUCUUCAGGUUGUUGGCUCUACUUAUCAAAAGCUUGCUGCUCCAAAUCCAAGAACAUAUAUUGGCUCAGGCAAGGUUUCUGAGAUCAAGAGUGCAAUUCAUGCAUUUGAUGUUGAAACAGUGAUAUUUGAUGAUGACCUCUCACCAGGGUCCAAGCGGUUCUGACAGCGAGUCACUAGUAAAUAACCGCUUACAGUCUUGGGAUUGCUCCAGCCCUUCGUGUAUAGCACACACUCUUUUUGGAAUGGAUAUAUUUGAACAAAUAAAUUGCUAUAGUUGUCAUUUGGAGUCUAGGCAUAUGAAGUACACUUCUUUUUUUCAUCACAUUAAUGCCAGUGCCCUGCGAACAAUGAAGGUCUUUCUGCUACAAUGGAAGUCCGCAUAGUCUACUUUGAUAUCAUGAGACCAGCAGAACAGCAGUAGCAGUGCAGAACCAGGACAACAGUACCAGUGCAGACAGAAGACACACAGCAGCCAGAAACCUUGGACACUUUAAAUUAUUUUUUGGACGAAAAUUGUAAUAUUUUAGCCUUUUU
Chenopodium quinoa (quinoa) is the source of this 1315-nucleotide long non-coding RNA. RefSeq lists it as uncharacterized. The record is from RefSeq and is a predicted model, not a curated record. NCBI's taxonomy places the organism in Eukaryota, Viridiplantae, Streptophyta, Magnoliopsida, Caryophyllales, Amaranthaceae. The transcript has 4 exons.